This 433-nucleotide ribosomal RNA is filed under the name uncultured bacterium. Its description in RNAcentral is "partial 16S ribosomal RNA". It matches the Rfam family "Bacterial small subunit ribosomal RNA", at positions 29 to 507 of the family's 1533-position model. The record is from RNAcentral.
AACGAACGCUGGCGGCAUGCCUAACACAUGCAAGUCGAACGAGACCUUCGGGUCUAGUGGCGCACGGGUGCGUAACGCGUGGGAACCUGCCCUUAGGUUCGGAAUAACUCCCCGAAAGGGGUGCUAAUACCGGAUAAUGUCUUCGGACCAAAGAUUUAUCGCCUUUGGAUGGGCCCGCGUUGGAUUAGCUAGUUGGUAGGGUAAAAGCCUACCAAGGCUACGAUCCAUAGCUGGUCUGAGAGGAUGAUCAGCCACACUGGGACUGAGACACGGCCCAGACUCCUACGGGAGGCAGCAGUGGGGAAUAUUGGAAAAUGGGCGAAAGCCUGAUCCAGCAAUGCCGCGUGAGUGAUGAAGGCCUUAGGGUUGUAAAGCUCUUUUACCCGGGAUGAUAAUGACAGUACCGGGAGAAUAAGCACCGGCUAACUCCGUG